CCCGUACACUAAAAUGCACAGGUCGUGAGUUCGAUGAGUAGGGCGGGACACGUGACAUCCUGUCUGAAUAUGGGGGGACCAUCCUCCAAGGCUAAAUACUCCUGACUGACCGAUAGUGAACCAGUACCGUGAGGGAAAGGCGAAAAGAACCCCGGCGAGGGGAGUGAAAUAGAACCUGAAACCGUGUACGUACAAGCAGUGGGAGCACCUUCGUGGUGUGACUGCGUACCUUUUGUAUAAUGGGUCAGCGACUUAUAUUUUGUAGCAAGGUUAACCGUAUAGGGGAGCCGUAGGGAAACCGAGUCUUAACUGGGCGAAUAGUUGCAAGGUAUAGACCCGAAACCCGGUGAUCUAGCCAUGGGCAGGUUGAAGGUUGGGUAACACUAACUGGAGGACCGAACCGACUAAUGUUGAAAAAUUAGCGGAUGACUUGUGGCUGGGGGUGAAAGGCCAAUCAAACCGGGAGAUAGCUGGUUCUCCCCGAAAGCUAUUUAGGUAGCGCCUCGUGAACUCAUCUUCGGGGGUAGAGCACUGUUUCGGCUAGGGGGCCAUCCCGGCUUACCAAACCGAUGCAAACUCCGAAUACCGAAGAAUGUUAUCACGGGAGACACACGGCGGGUGCUAACGUCCGUCGUGAAGAGGGAAACAACCCAGACCGCCAGCUAAGGUCCCAAAGUCAUGGUUAAGUGGGAAACGAUGUGGGAAGGCAUAGACAGCCAGGAUGUUGGCUUAGAAGCAGCCAUCAUUUAAAGAAAGCGUAAUAGCUCACUGGUCGAGUCGGCCUGCGCGGAAGAUGUAACGGGGCUAAACCAUGC
RNAcentral lists this ribosomal RNA (815 nucleotides) under Serratia marcescens. RNAcentral describes it as "partial 23S ribosomal RNA". It matches the Rfam family "Bacterial large subunit ribosomal RNA", at positions 372 to 1192 of the family's 2925-position model. Lineage: Bacteria; Pseudomonadati; Pseudomonadota; Gammaproteobacteria; Enterobacterales; Yersiniaceae. The record is from RNAcentral.